CUAGAAUGCGCGUGACCGGUCCAGAGAUGGACCUUUCCUUCGGGACACAAAGCAAGGUGCUGCAUGGCCGUCGUCAGCUCGUGCCGUGAGGUGUUGGGUUAAGUCCCGCAACGAGCGCAACCCCUAUCUUUAGUUGCCAGCACAUUAUGGUGGGGACUCUAAAGAGACUGCCUGCGCAAGCAGUGAGGAAGGUGGGGAUGACGUCAGGUCAUCAUGGCCCUUACGCCUAGGGCUACACACGUGCUACAAUGGGCGGUACAGAGGGUUGCUACCUGGUGACAGGAUGCCAAUCUCAAAAAGCCGCUCUCAGUUCGGAUCGAAGUCUGCAACUCGACUUCGUGAAGCUGGAAUCGCUAGUAAUCGCGUAUCAGCAAUGACGCGGUGAAUACGUUCCCGGGCCUUGUACACACCGCCCGUCAAGCCAUGGAAGUCAGGGAGACCUGAAGACAG
This 450-nucleotide ribosomal RNA is filed under the name uncultured bacterium. Its description in RNAcentral is "bacterial SSU rRNA". It matches the Rfam family "Bacterial small subunit ribosomal RNA", at positions 980 to 1430 of the family's 1533-position model. The record is from RNAcentral.